UGGAUGGGGUGGGUGAUGGUGGUAGUGGAGGUAUAUAAUUUUCAGUCGUUCUAGAACCUUCCAUGUACAGGCCGCUACAAAAGUCAUUUCAAAAAAAUAUUGAAUUAUUUUCGAACUUUGUGACUUAUCCAGUCUCCGAGUCACCUUAGUUGGUUUUUGUGCUAGCAUUAAGCCCAUUUUGUUUCCUUAUGGCAGCAUAGGGACUUACGUCUAUCUGGCAAUUAAUUAUACAGGUUUCAUGAACUAAAUUGUAGGUUUCAACAUGACAAUGAGCAAGCGGGAUGUUUAACGCAAACUCUUUCUAUUCCCUUCAAGAUGCUUUAAUCCCUCAUGGAUUAAAGCAUCUUGAAAAGGAUUACUAAGAUUUCGUAGUCCACAGGUGGCUAAUAAAUCAUUCAUUUUUCUCAAACAUUUUGUCAGCAACAGUACUUAGUACCUAGUACUAUUAAUAUCACCUAUGUGAAAUGAAGUAUCGAUCGAGACCUGCGCGUUGCAUUCAGGCCGCGACUAUUUAUAUCCGGGUGCAGCGCCGUCCAUCCCUCAUUCUGACGACAGCCACGGCUGGGGCCGUGCCUCCUCUGGCGUUCUGCUGAUACCAAGACGGAGAGCGACCUCACCUGACACUCUGGAGUACACCUUUCCGAGUGCGGCGGAUCGCCGCCACCUUUGACCAAGGUCUUUCCCGGUCAGCGUACAGCCAUGGUGAUGCAGCACCAGAUCCACCCAUGGCCGGACAGAAUUGGCUAGAUUAAAGGAUACUAAUGUUACUUGGACUUACAAAUUACUCAUGCUCUAACUAACUUGAGUAAUUCGUGAGUACUGAGUUAGUGGGGGGCGGCAGCGAACUACGAUUAGUAAUAAGUAGUUUGUGGAAGCCGAAGUUAUCAUAAAUUACUUAUUGUUGACACAAUAAAUAAUUUAUGGAAGCCGAGGUGGACACGAGCUACUUAUUAUUUAAAAAGUAUUUCGUGUAUGCACAGGCGAUGUUGAGGCGUAAUGUUAAAAUUUAGCGUAAGCCUUUGAAGCUAUGCCAUUGACAUUGUAUUUCUACUUUGCGAUCUUGAUGCAUAGCUUUACAUGUAGAUAUAAGUAUCUUUACCUACUUAAGAAAGUUUCUUUUAGGUAGGUAUGGAUAAUAUUUAUAAGUAGAUAUAAUAUCAAGUGUGUGUUUCCAUCUCCACUAUUUAAGGUUAAACUUUUAAGAUCUCCCCUUAAGAAAUGGCAAACUUGGAAGUUAUACUCAAGAAAAGGCAAAGUUGAAUCUGCCAUAAGUACAUUACAAUGCCCCACGGGACGUUUUAUAUGUCCCACAAAUUGCUAGGGUAACGACGAUUAUGUAAGGUCUAGAUGUCCAAAUAGACCUUACAUACCCCGGACAUGACGUACUCGGACUUGACACUAAAAUAAGAAGACCUUUAAUCAUGAAACGGAAGAAGUUCACUUAUUGUAUCCGGAGAGACAAUAUCAAUAUGUAUUUAUAUGAAUUAUCUAUUUUAUGAGAUUUUUUUGAGACCGCCGUGAGGAGUUUAAUACCUUUUUUUAAUAUGUAUUAUUAUAAAUAAAAAUAGUAUAUCAAUAAAAACCCCAAAAAUGUAACUGCUUGUUUUCUUUAGUAACCUUGAUUAAAUGCCACCCAAUUACAAAAUAUUAUAUGUGCUUAAGCUUGGAGAGCCCUCCUGAACAUAGAUUUCUUUUAAAAAAAUGGUCACAUCUUCAUCUUUAUCACUUCAGACUUCUUAAAGCAUGACUGUUGCAGUUGUGACAGCAGCAUCUCUCUUUCUCGCUUUGCUAGCACGCUUCUACAAUGGCAAGAGUUUUACUUUUAAGUAUUGUGACGUAGUGAGCCGUCGAGCAAUACUAAC
This is a long non-coding RNA of Trichoplusia ni (cabbage looper), 1862 nucleotides long. RefSeq lists it as uncharacterized. NCBI's taxonomy places the organism in Eukaryota, Metazoa, Arthropoda, Insecta, Lepidoptera, Noctuidae. The record is from RefSeq and is a predicted model, not a curated record. The transcript has 3 exons.